Molecule: long non-coding RNA, 276 nt
Filed under: Ananas comosus (pineapple)
Lineage: Eukaryota; Viridiplantae; Streptophyta; Magnoliopsida; Poales; Bromeliaceae
Description: long non-coding RNA (ACOM_LNC020508)
Source: RNAcentral
CUCCUGAAGACACACGACUGCGUUACGCAGUUUCGACACAACAGCCCUAACGGCGCACCGUUUAGAGGGAUCGUUAAGCCCUCUAACGUUCCAACUACAGACACGAAACAUAAAAAAACCUGCAGACUCACACCACUAAAAGCAAAACAGGGUCAGCCAAACAAUCGAACAGACAGCCUACAAGCAUUCGUUCGCAAACUUGGAAAAGCUCGCCGCUUCGAUCUCGCCUAACUUCACACCGUAUUUCAGACUCUUGGAGAUGGUCUUCCCAAUAGA